AUUAGAGAGGCGGUAAACAAU
RNAcentral lists this microRNA (21 nucleotides) under Prunus persica (peach). RNAcentral describes it as "ppe-miR6267b". Lineage: Eukaryota; Viridiplantae; Streptophyta; Magnoliopsida; Rosales; Rosaceae. The record is from miRBase by way of RNAcentral.